Strigops habroptila (Kakapo) is the source of this 2095-nucleotide long non-coding RNA. RefSeq lists it as uncharacterized. The record is from RefSeq and is a predicted model, not a curated record. NCBI's taxonomy places the organism in Eukaryota, Metazoa, Chordata, Aves, Psittaciformes, Psittacidae. The transcript is spliced from 3 exons.
UUUUGCAUAGAUAAAGGGUAGCUAUGCCACAUACUUACACUUCAGUGUCAGCUUUUUGCCUGGAUAGAGUAACUCUGGAAUCUCUUGAUGCUUUAAAUAAGACUUUCAGGUUAUGCUUAACUACAUUUACCUUCACAUUUUCUGGCCCUAUAGUGACUGUUAUUAGCACCAGGCCUCCAACAAUUUCCAUAAAUGCUCUAAAUUCCAUUUGAAUCAAUAAAACCAGGCCCAUUACUGUAUUUUUACAUAGUAGUGUGUUUACAGGAUUAGAACAUUAAAGUGUUUCUCAAUCACUCUUAAGAGAGAAAAUUAAAAUGGUGUUCUUUUUAAUAGCUUCCUAAUUAAUUCGGUCAUCUGCUUAUUUAUGGUAGUUUACAGCAGGCACAAGUAAAAAGUGGUGGGUGUUUCAGCUCCUUCUUUAACAUAGUUGCUGAUUAAGAAAAUUAGUAAAAGUCAAACACUUCUACAGGCCUCUUAAUGCCUACUUGGGUUUGGAAAUCCUUUAUUUCAGCUGAAAAAGACUCAGAAGAACCUAGCUGAGCACCUCGAUAGAACAUGCAAGGCUGGCAGCUAGAUUGAAGCCAUGUGCCGGUAUUUUACAUGUUCUUUUUAAACCUCCUUCUAGCACAGAUGCUCAGUGCAGAAGAAGUAAACAAACAGUCUUCUGAUGAGCCUGAUUCUGACUCUAAAUUUGAGGUUGAACCACCAGAGGAAGAAAACCAGAAUGACACAUCUAGUACAGAAAUGGAAGAGGAGGUGCAAUCAUCUGUGGGAAAGCUGAGGCCUAAGCCUGCUUAUCUGAGUUCAGAUCCAGAAAACCAAAAGCCAAGUCUUUUUGCUAUGAUCCCAGACAUCUGGUUUCGGAGCCAGAAGAUAAGAUAUUCCCAUAUUGAGAAGAGUGAUUUCUGUAACACCAUGAUGAAGGGUCUCAGAAGGGAAAGCUGGCCUGUGCCUCCACUGUCACUAUUCACAGUCCUAUCUCCUCAUUUACAUUGCUGGGAUUUUUGAAUUGCAGCAACUGAGCUGUUGUGUACCAUGCUUUCUUCUCUCACCUGGAACUUUGUCUGCCAGUUGCUACAGAUCUCUAAUGUCCUGCCAUCCUCUCUGAUUAUCUACAUGGCUCAGCUGUUUGUUUUGCUGGGUGGAAGACUUGUGGAAACUCUGGGCUCCCUGAGGCUGAAGAGCAGACGGCUGUGGGCUUCAGUCUUGGAGAGGAAACUGGAGUGCAGUGAUGAAGGUCAGAGAACCGCCUCUGCACAGUAUUGACUGGCUAAAUAUUAAAUGGAUGACAGCAUCCAGUCUCUUGUGCAGUGCUUGGGUGCGUGCUCUGCUCCUCUCCCACCUCACAGAAAGAUGAGUUCCUCCUUUGUAAGGACCGGUAAUACUCUCACCACUACUAACCUUCGAUUUCAGACAAGAUCAAGGCAAGCGCUCUCACUAGCAGCUUUUACCGGAGCUUACAUGCAGUACAGCUCAGUGAUUACUCAUGCUGCAGUUAACACUUUUCUGAUCUCCAACUUGUCAGUUCUCAAAGUAGGAAACAAAUUUUCAAGGCUCAGGUUUAAGAAAUGAAGCAAGUCUACUUCCAAUUAAGCCCUUCGCAGGUCCUGAGCGUGCAUUUCUUCUGUUUCUGUUCAGGAUGGGCUUGGCUUUUCAGCACAGCUGGCAGGCUGAGGUGAGGUUAGAUUACCGCUUGGAGGCACUUGACAACAACUUGAUUUAACCAUUGGAGGGGUAACAGUGAGGUUGGUGGGACAAGGAUGAGCCGUGAUUUUGUGGCCUAAGGGUUUAUCCAGUCGUUGGGCUAUGAACAGAGCAGCUCUUUGCACACAUUCAACAAACUCUUUUUUUAAGGAGGACCUGAAUUAGGAGGUCACAUCCCAGAGAGCACAUUACCACUUGUGAAAAACACCUCUGCUCCCCUUGUGAAGCAGUGUCCCUCACAAGCGCUGCCUGUGCGAUGGUCACCGCCUGCACUGAUGAUGAAGCACGCCUUGGUUAUGUUUGCUUGUAUUUCCCUCCUCCUCCCCUGAAUUCCACAGGUCCAAAUACCCGUCCGGAGUUGUGUGCAUUAAAUAAAACUUGCUCGUCUGCA